Long non-coding RNA from Dunckerocampus dactyliophorus (ringed pipefish), 576 nucleotides. RefSeq lists it as uncharacterized. Lineage: Eukaryota; Metazoa; Chordata; Actinopteri; Syngnathiformes; Syngnathidae. The record is from RefSeq and is a predicted model, not a curated record. The transcript is spliced from 3 exons.
CAAAAAUGAGGCUUUAUCGUUGGUUGUAUGUGUUUUUGUACUUUGGAUGCUGCUUUUAUUGUAAAAUGAUUCUUGUCCUGUGAACUCCAGAGUACCUUUUGUUCUGUGAAAGUCAGUUGAACUCAGGCCUACGUGACUGAGGGGGAGGUCAUCGUGACCGAAGUUAUACAAGAUAUGUUCCAGAUGUUAUGUGAUUUCAAAAUGUCCUGCCAACAGGUCCAAGGAAGGACGAGGUUUUGGUAAUCCACGUCAUUGUUAUUGUUCACUGGGUCUAUUUAAGGGUGAACGGAAUAAACGGGGUGUCCCUUUUCCCUCAACUGCAUACAAGUUGUGUUGUGCCUCUUAUUAUUCCACAACAUUUGGCGUCACGAACAGGAUUGGAAGGAAAGACGUUGAUGCUCGUGGCCUUCUGACCCGCACCAUAUUGCAAACCAACGGCCGUAAAAACAGUUUCAGAUGCUCGAAGCAGAGCUCUACGCCACAAAGACAAGAUCAUCAAACACCUGACAGGUCCGCUAUACUUCAACCCAAAGUGCAGGAGUCACUUCCGCAGACUUUACCACAAUAUCAGGGACU